This 400-nucleotide ribosomal RNA is filed under the name uncultured bacterium. RNAcentral describes it as "bacterial SSU rRNA". It matches the Rfam family "Bacterial small subunit ribosomal RNA", at positions 356 to 773 of the family's 1533-position model. The record is from RNAcentral.
GGGGAAUAUUGCACAAUGGGCGAAAGCCUGAUGCAGCGACGCCGCGUGAGUGAUGAAGGCCUUCGGGUCGUAAAGCUCUUUGAUCAGGGAUGAUAAUGACAGUACCUGAAAAACAAGCCACGGCUAACUACGUGCCAGCAGCCGCGGUAAUACGUAGGUGGCGAGCGUUGUCCGGAAUUAUUGGGCGUAAAGGAUGCGUAGGUGGAUAUUUAAGUGGGAUGUGAAAUCCCCGGGCUCAACCCGGGAACUGCAUUCCAUACUGGAUGUCUAGAGUGCAGGAGAGGAAAGUGGAAUUCCCAGUGUAGCGGUGAAAUGCGUAGAUAUUAGGAGGAACACCAGUGGCGAAGGCGACUUUCUGGACUGUAACUGACACUGAGGCAUGAAAGCGUGGGUUGCAAAC